UUUGUAGGCGGCGCUGUUAGUCGGGUGUGAAAUCCCAGGGCUCAACCCUGGAACUGCGCCCGAUACUGCAGUGCUUGAGGGAGACAGAGGUAAGCGGAACUGAUGGUGGAGCGGUGAAAUGCGUUGAUAUCAUCAGGAACACCGGUGGCGAAAGCGGCUUACUGGGUCUCUUCUGACGCUGAGAAACGAAAGCUAGGGGAGGCAAGG
This 207-nucleotide ribosomal RNA is filed under the name uncultured bacterium. RNAcentral's name for it is "partial 16S ribosomal RNA". It matches the Rfam family "Bacterial small subunit ribosomal RNA", at positions 568 to 774 of the family's 1533-position model. The record is from RNAcentral.